UGUGUAGGCGGUUGUUUAAGUUUGGUGUGAAAUCUCCCGGCUUAACUGGGAGGGUGCGCCGAAUACUGAAUGACUCGAGUGCGGGAGAGGAAAGUGGAAUUCCUGGUGUAGCGGUGAAAUGCGUAGAUAUCAGGAGGAACACCGGUGGUGUAGACGGCUUUCUGGACCGUAACUGACGCUGAGACACGAAAGCGUGGGUAGCAAACAGGAUUAGAUACCCUGGUAGUCCACGCCCUAAACGAUGCAUAUUUGGUGUGGGCAGUUCAUUCUGUCCGUGCCGGAGCUAACGCGUUAAAUAUGCCGCCUGGGGAGUACAGUCGCAAGGCUGAA
This 330-nucleotide ribosomal RNA is filed under the name uncultured bacterium. Its description in RNAcentral is "bacterial SSU rRNA". It matches the Rfam family "Bacterial small subunit ribosomal RNA", at positions 568 to 898 of the family's 1533-position model. The record is from RNAcentral.